GGACGGGUGAGUAAUGUCUGGGGAUCUGCCCGAUAGAGGGGGAUAACCACUGGAAACGGUGGCUAAUACCGCAUAACGUCGCAAGACCAAAGAGGGGGACCUUCGGGCCUCUCACUAUCGGAUGAACCCAGAUGGGAUUAGCUAGUAGGCGGGGUAACGGCCCACCUAGGCGACGAUCCCUAGCUGGUCUGAGAGGAUGACCAGCCACACUGGAACUGAGACACGGUCCAGACUCCUACGGGAGGCAGCAGUGGGGAAUAUUGCACAAUGGGCGCAAGCCUGAUGCAGCCAUGCCGCGUGUAUGAAGAAGGCCUUCGGGUUGUAAAGUACUUUCAGCGGGGAGGAAGGCGAUGUGGUUAAUAACCGCGUCGAUUGACGUUACCCGCAGAAGAAGCACCGGCUAACUCCGUGCCAGCAGCCGCGGUAAUACGGAGGGUGCAAGCGUUAAUCGGAAUUACUGGGCGUAAAGCGCACGCAGGCGGUCUGUUAAGUCAGAUGUGAAAUCCCCGGGCUUAACCUGGGAACUGCAUUUGAAACUGGCAGGCUUGAGUCUCGUAGAGGGGGGUAGAAUUCCAGGUGUAGCGGUGAAAUGCGUAGAGAUCUGGAGGAAUACCGGUGGC
This 620-nucleotide ribosomal RNA is filed under the name Pantoea ananatis. Its description in RNAcentral is "bacterial SSU rRNA". It matches the Rfam family "Bacterial small subunit ribosomal RNA", at positions 100 to 716 of the family's 1533-position model. The record is from RNAcentral. Lineage: Bacteria; Pseudomonadati; Pseudomonadota; Gammaproteobacteria; Enterobacterales; Erwiniaceae.